ACGCGAAGCCCCCUUCGGGGGGCAAGUAGAGUGGCGCACGGGUGAGUAACACGUAGGUAAUCUACCUUUGGAUGGGGAAUAACCACCGGAAACGGUGGCUAAUACCGCAUAAUGCAGCGGCACCUAAUGGUGACAGUUGUUAAAGCGGGGGAUCGCAAGACCUCGCGUCUGAAGAGGAGCCUGCGGCGGAUUAGCUAGUUGGUAGGGUAACGGCUUACCAAGGCGAUGAUCCGUAGCCGGCCUGAGAGGGCGGUCGGCCACACUGACACUGACAUACGGGUCAGACUCCUACGGGAGGCAGCAGUCGGGAAUUUUGGGCAAUGGGCGAAAGCCUGACCCAGCAACGCCGCGUGAAGGAUGAAAUCCCUCGGGAUGUAAACUUCGCAAGAACGGGAAGAAUAAGUCUGCGCAAAUAUCGCAGAUGAUGACGGUACCGUUUGUAAGCUCCGGCUAACUCCGUGCCAGCAGCCGCGGUAAUACGGGGGGAGCAAGCGUUG
Molecule: ribosomal RNA, 497 nt
Filed under: uncultured bacterium
Lineage: Bacteria
Description: bacterial SSU rRNA
Rfam family: Bacterial small subunit ribosomal RNA
Source: RNAcentral